RNAcentral lists this ribosomal RNA (479 nucleotides) under uncultured organism. RNAcentral describes it as "partial 16S ribosomal RNA". It matches the Rfam family "Bacterial small subunit ribosomal RNA", at positions 330 to 800 of the family's 1533-position model. The record is from RNAcentral.
CGUACACUCCUACGGGAGGCAGCAGUGGGGAAUAUUGCACAAUGGGCGCAAGCCUGAUGCAGCCAUGCCGCGUGUAUGAAGAAGGCCUUCGGGUUGUAAAGUACUUUCAGCGGGGAGGAAGGCGAUAAGGUUAAUAACCUUGUUGAUUGACGUUACCCGCAGAAGAAGCACCGGCUAACUCCGUGCCAGCAGCCGCGGUAAUACGGAGGGUGCAAGCGUUAAUCGGAAUUACUGGGCGUAAAGCGCACGCAGGCGGUCUGUCAAGUCGGAUGUGAAAUCCCCGGGCUCAACCUGGGAACUGCAUUCGAAACUGGCAGGCUAGAGUCUUGUAGAGGGGGGUAGAAUUCCAGGUGUAGCGGUGAAAUGCGUAGAGAUCUGGAGGAAUACCGGUGGCGAAGGCGGCCCCCUGGACAAAGACUGACGCUCAGGUGCGAAAGCGUGGGGAGCAAACAGGAUUAGAAACCCUGGUAGUCCCAUGA